This is a long non-coding RNA of Oreochromis aureus, 456 nucleotides long. RefSeq lists it as uncharacterized. Lineage: Eukaryota; Metazoa; Chordata; Actinopteri; Cichliformes; Cichlidae. The record is from RefSeq and is a predicted model, not a curated record. The transcript has 3 exons.
GUGCAGAGAGAGAAAGAGAGAAAGAGUGAACACCCACCCAGGCUGCCUCGACUCUUUAUAUCAAACCCUCCGUCACUCGGCGCCUCCUAAAAGGCACUUCUCCGCUCCACCGGCCGUCUCGCUGCUGGGCGGACCUGCACUUUUUUUACGCACAUUCAGCCCGAACUAACCGCUAAUCUUCGGAGUUCAUUAACAAGAAGAAGAAGAAGCGAGAGACAGGGGAGAGACAUGGCCACGACAACCUGUACGCGAUUCACAGAUGAAUAUCAGCUGUACGAGGAGCUGGGGAAGGGAGCAUUUUCAGUAGUGCGCAGAUGUGUUAAGCUGUGCACAGGACAGGAGUAUGCUGCUAAAAUAAUCAACACCAAAAAGUUAUCUGCAAGAGAAAUGGAGGAAGCUGGAAAAGUCCUAGCAGCAGUAGAAACAGCAUUGGUAUGGUGAUGUGACAGUCAUACA